Molecule: long non-coding RNA, 973 nt
Filed under: Ananas comosus (pineapple)
Lineage: Eukaryota; Viridiplantae; Streptophyta; Magnoliopsida; Poales; Bromeliaceae
Description: long non-coding RNA (ACOM_LNC027434)
Source: RNAcentral
CUAUUUAAAAACUAAAUUUCUACCAAGAUUUAAAAUACAGUUUAUUCGCACCAGUUUAAAACGUAAUGCAUAAAAAACUUAGAGAGUAAGAUUUCUACAACUAGAUUUCUCUAGAGGAAUUUUAUAUUACUAUUUAAAUUUUAAAUUCAAUGAUUUAAAAACUAGAUUGAACCGAUUGAUUUGAUUGAUCAGACUUUGACCUAUUCUAUCAAGAAUCUGAUUUUAACCUAUUGAACCGAAUAACAUUAAGAACAAUUUGGAACCGGUAAAGAUAAUAAAUAUUUUAAACAGAAUGAUAAUUUAACUGUUAGAGCUAAUAAAUAUUUUAAAUAUAAUUUUAAACAUAUAAAUUAAAAAGAUUAGAAUUAUUGGUGAGAAAAAAAAUAGUUAGGAAUUUGAAUUCGAAUCUGAGUAAGAAUCACAAAACUUAUUUUCGAACACGACGGAUUUCAAAAAUCCAUAUCCAAAUUCAAAAUUGACCAAUUUUUCGAAAUCCAAAACCAAACCUAAACCAGAAGACUAGAAUUCAAACAAUUAUUUCUGUUUACCGUAUUUCAAAAUAUUUAUAUGAAACUUAAAUUUUUAAAAUAUAAAUUUGAAUAUAAUAUUAAAUUUUAAAUUUAAAAGUGAAAUUUAAAUUAGAGGAAUUUUAUAUUACUAUUUAAAGUUUAAAUUCAAUGAUCAUAUUGUCAAAUCAUUUGAAAUUUUUCUUAUAUGAAAUGCCAAAUUAUGAAAGGAAAGAUAGAGAGAGAAAAAGAAAACAAAGAAAAAACAAAAAUUUUGAAAAUAUAGUAGAUGUAAAAUGACUAAAUUGCCUAUGUAUUAAAAGACAAAAAUAUUCUUUUUUGAGAUACCUGGUAACCAGUAUCUCUUUCAAAGUGGCCUGCUAUUGCAUGUCACAAUUUAAAAAAAAUUUAAAUCUGAGUCGUUAAAUAUGCAUGAAUGAACGAUAAAAAAUAAAAAAAAAAAAAAA